This 503-nucleotide ribosomal RNA is filed under the name uncultured eukaryote. RNAcentral's name for it is "bacterial SSU rRNA". It matches the Rfam family "Eukaryotic small subunit ribosomal RNA", at positions 1156 to 1672 of the family's 1831-position model. The record is from RNAcentral.
ACGGAAGGGCACCACCAGGAGUGGAAUCUGCGGCUUAAUUUGACUCAACGCGGGAAAACUCACCAGGUCAGGACACGGUAAGGAUUGACGGACUGAAGGCUCUUUCUCGAUUCCGUGGAAAGUGGUGCAUGGCCGUUUUUGGUUGGUGGAUCGAUCCGUCUGGUUAAUUCCGUUAACGAACGAGACCUCGGCACUCCGAAUAGCGCGGCGGACGUCGCGGCCUCCGGGGCCGUCUUCCGCACGAGCUUCUUAGAGGGACCGUCCCCGCGGGGAAGAGGUGCGAGGCAACGACAGGUCUGUGAUGCCCUUAGAUGUUCUGGGCCGCACGCGCAUUACACUGACGCGUCCAACGGGUGACUCCCGACCCGAAGGGGCCGGGGAAUCCGCAAGGCGCGUCGUGAUGGGGAUUGAACGUUGCAAUUGUUGUUCACGAACGAGGAAUUCCUAGUAGGCGCGGGUCAUCAACCCGCGCCGAUUACGUCCCUGCCCUUUGUACACACCGC